Molecule: ribosomal RNA, 1428 nt
Filed under: Staphylococcus sp. CTDB4
Lineage: Bacteria; Bacillati; Bacillota; Bacilli; Caryophanales; Staphylococcaceae
Description: bacterial SSU rRNA
Rfam family: Bacterial small subunit ribosomal RNA
Source: RNAcentral
AGUCGAGCGAACAGAUAAGGAGCUUGCUCCUUUGACGUUAGCGGCGGACGGGUGAGUAACACGUGGGUAACCUACCUAUAAGACUGGAAUAACUCCGGGAAACCGGGGCUAAUGCCGGAUAACAUUUAGAACCGCAUGGUUCUAAAGUGAAAGAUGGUUUUGCUAUCACUUAUAGAUGGACCCGCGCCGUAUUAGCUAGUUGGUAAGGUAACGGCUUACCAAGGCAACGAUACGUAGCCGACCUGAGAGGGUGAUCGGCCACACUGGAACUGAGACACGGUCCAGACUCCUACGGGAGGCAGCAGUAGGGAAUCUUCCGCAAUGGGCGAAAGCCUGACGGAGCAACGCCGCGUGAGUGAUGAAGGUCUUCGGAUCGUAAAACUCUGUUAUUAGGGAAGAACAAAUGUGUAAGUAACUAUGCACGUCUUGACGGUACCUAAUCAGAAAGCCACGGCUAACUACGUGCCAGCAGCCGCGGUAAUACGUAGGUGGCAAGCGUUAUCCGGAAUUAUUGGGCGUAAAGCGCGCGUAGGCGGUUUCUUAAGUCUGAUGUGAAAGCCCACGGCUCAACCGUGGAGGGUCAUUGGAAACUGGGAAACUUGAGUGCAGAAGAGGAAAGUGGAAUUCCCUGUGUAGCGGUGAAAUGCGCAGAGAUAUGGAGGAACACCAGUGGCGAAAAGCGACUUUCUGGUCUGUAACUGACGCUGAUGUGCGAAAGCGUGGGGAUCAAACAGGAUUAGAUACCCUGGUAGUCCACGCCGUAAACGAUGAGUGCUAAGUGUUAGGGGGUUUCCGCCCCUUAGUGCUGCAGCUAACGCAUUAAGCACUCCGCCUGGGGAGUACGACCGCAAGGUUGAAACUCAAAGGAAUUGACGGGGACCCGCACAAGCGGUGGAGCAUGUGGUUUAAUUCGAAGCAACGCGAAGAACCUUACCAAAUCUUGACAUCCUUUGACAACUCUAGAGAUAGAGCCUUCCCCUUCGGGGGACAAAGUGACAGGUGGUGCAUGGUUGUCGUCAGCUCGUGUCGUGAGAUGUUGGGUUAAGUCCCGCAACGAGCGCAACCCUUAAACUUAGUUGCCAGCAUUUAGUUGGGCACUCUAAGUUGACUGCCGGUGACAAACCGGAGGAAGGUGGGGAUGACGUCAAAUCAUCAUGCCCCUUAUGAUUUGGGCUACACACGUGCUACAAUGGACAAUACAAAGGGCAGCUAAACCGCGAGGUCAUGCAAAUCCCAUAAAGUUGUUCUCAGUUCGGAUUGUAGUCUGCAACUCGACUACAUGAAGCUGGAAUCGCUAGUAAUCGUAGAUCAGCAUGCUACGGUGAAUACGUUCCCGGGUCUUGUACACACCGCCCGUCACACCACGAGAGUUUGUAACACCCGAAGCCGGUGGAGUAACCAUUUAUGGAGCUAGCCGUCGAAAGGGGG